RNAcentral lists this non-coding RNA (24 nucleotides) under Rattus norvegicus (Norway rat). Lineage: Eukaryota; Metazoa; Chordata; Mammalia; Rodentia; Muridae. The record is from RNAcentral.
UGAUGGCUGCUGCAAACCCAGGUA